Molecule: long non-coding RNA, 433 nt
Filed under: Dromaius novaehollandiae (emu)
Lineage: Eukaryota; Metazoa; Chordata; Aves; Casuariiformes; Dromaiidae
Description: lncRNA (ENSDNVG00000005495.1)
Source: RNAcentral
UUUAAAACAUUACGAACUUUUUUUUUUUUUAAUCUAAAGGGCUUAGCAAGCAGCUAAGGGAAGAUUGGACUACAGGACAACUGUGUAUCCUUACAGUCCUACAAAAUAUAGAAGCUGCUUCUGACCUAAUUGAUCAAAAUGCUGUUCCUUGGGAAAUAGCAAGGCAUGUCUUCUUUUCAAGGCAAAUGAAUUUGGGGGCUGGUGAGAGAGGGAGAAAGGGUCAUUGUGGUAGAGGAAAUAUUUUUAUCUGAGCCUCAGGAAAUGGUGGUCUGGCUAAAGACUGCGGUGGUGUGGAUGGUUAUGUGAAGAGCAUUUACACAGGGGCAAAGGAUGCCAUCAUUUACCUCUGCCCCACAGCUUCUGGGCUACAAGAACUACUCAGCAUCAGUGGCCACCUAGACAUAUCCAGUGAGGAAGGAGUGUGGAGGCCACU